Molecule: ribosomal RNA, 40 nt
Filed under: uncultured Tomentella
Lineage: Eukaryota; Fungi; Basidiomycota; Agaricomycetes; Thelephorales; Thelephoraceae
Description: partial 28S ribosomal RNA
Source: RNAcentral
UCAAAUCAGGUAGGACUACCCGCUGAACUUAAGCAUAUCA